Molecule: ribosomal RNA, 775 nt
Filed under: uncultured Neocallimastigales
Lineage: Eukaryota; Fungi; Neocallimastigomycota; Neocallimastigomycetes; Neocallimastigales
Description: partial large subunit ribosomal RNA
Rfam family: Eukaryotic large subunit ribosomal RNA
Source: RNAcentral
UAUGUGAUCGUCUCUCGCAUAUCAAUAAGCGGAGGAAAAGAAACUAACAAGGAUUCCCCUAGUAACGGCGAGUGAAGCGGGAAGAGCUCAAAUUUGAAAUCUUAAAGGGUUUCCCUUUACGAAUUGUAGUUUAAAGAAGUGUUUUCUGUUGAGGUUUUGGUAAAAGUUCUUUGGAAUAGGACAUCAUAGAGGGUGAGAAUCCCGUAUUUGACCUUUACUUUCAACUUUGUGAUACACUUUCAAAGAGUCGGAUUGUUUGGGAAUGCAGUCCAAAAUGGGUGGUAAAUUUCAUCUAAAGCUAAAUAUUGGCGAGAGACCGAUAGCGAACAAGUACCGUGAGGGAAAGAUGAAAAGAACUUUGAAAAGAGAGUUAAACAGUACGUGAAAUUGUCAAAAGGGAAGCGUUUGACACCAGUGUUGUUUUUCUGAAAAUCAAUUAAAGAACUGUUUAUGCUAAGCUGUUUAGACUUUAUCAGCUAAUCUGUUUAGUUUUGAGCUUUUCUUUAAUGCACUUUUCAGUUAACAAGUCAACAUCAAUUUCUUUUGCUGUAAAAAAGCUUGAGGAAGGUGGCUUGAGAUACGUCUUAAGUGUUUAUAGCCUCUUGCCUAUGCAGUCGGAGAGAUUGAGGUCUGCAGCGUAGAUCCUUCGGGGCUAAAUGCAUUUGUGCUAAGUUAUAGCAUUUUAUAGACAACUUGUUGACUAUGAUUUGUCUUGUAGCUUACUCGCUUAUGUUAUUUUACCUACGCUUAGGAUGUUGAUCUCUCACAGUCGAGC